CAGGGGAGCGAGGGGGAAACCGCUAAGGGAGGAACGGCGGUGCGAGCGCCGAGGUGAGUGACUGCGGCGGGGGCUCGCAGGGCCGAGCAGGUGGAUGGUGUUCGUUGGAGGAACUGCGGCCUGUAGGAGGGACCAUGGAGCAGGGAAACAGCGUGAGGAGCGGGACGGCGUGCGAGCGAGGAGUGGUUAUGGGCUGACCCCAGCCCCCGUCCCUUCUUCUCGCUGGGCUGCUCCACGGGAGGAAGUGGAAGAGUUGGGAAUGAAGAUGAGCCUGGGAAAAAGGGAAUGUGUGGGGAAUGGCGAUAUUUUAAUUUUUGGUUUUGUUUCUUACUAUCGAAGUCUAUUUUAAUAGGCCAGAAAUACUAGACAUCUAUUUUAAUAGGCCCGGUUCCAGCCAUUAACAAGGUAAUUUUUGCAGUAGCCAGGACCCCUGGCAUGGCCAGGACCCCGAUGUUAUUUUAUACCACCUCACAAGGGGGGCAACGGAAAAGGGAGUCCCGUCUGAGUUAGUGUAGCGAGGCAGAGGGAGCAAUCCAUUGUCUUUUCGCCUCUUUCUUGUACCCCCUGUCGUUACUAUUGCUGCUGUUACUGUUUGGUAUUUUUAUCUCACUGCUAUUUCCAGUAAAUUGUUUUUAUCUCACCUUUUUGUGCCUCCAGCUCUCCUCACCAGCCAACUGCAGUGGGAAGGGGAGGGAGAACAGGGAAUGAGUGAGUGAGUGGCACAUGGCUUGGAGAGUCUCAGUGGGAUUACUAAAUUGGGGAGUACCAUUUCCAAACCACGACAUGCCCCUGAUGGUAAUUGGAGGAAGAGACUGGGAACAUGUGCACUGGAAAGAAGCUACAGCAUGGUUCAUCCAGAUUCCCAGUCUGUAGACCUGAGGGAUGAGGAAAGAAGAAAAUGCCGAGCAAAAAUCCUGCCUGCAACAUAUUCAGGAUCUGUGUUCGUUGUUAUUAUUAUGUGGCUGGAAAAGUCACUAUUCCAGAGGAAAGCACCCUUUUGGCAAAACAAGCAGAGUUUGAACUAUUGCAAGCUCCACUCAAACAGAUUUUACUUAACAGCUCACGACAAGUGAAAAGUCAACAAGAAGGCUGCACAGAGGACAGAGUCAGGCCCUUUCCAGUGACAGGACCAGAGGCAAUGGGCGUACACUGAAACACAGGAAGUUCCCUCUGAACAUCAGAAAACACUUUUUCAUUGUGAGGGUGACCGAGCACUUGCACAGGUUGCCGUGAGAGAUUAUGGAGUCUCCAUCCUUGGAGAUAUUCAAAAGCUGUCUGGACACGGUCCUGGGCAACUGGCUGUUGGGUGGCCAUGCUUGAGCAAGGGCAUUGGACAAGAUGACCUCCAGAGGUCCCUUCUAACCUCAGCCAUUCUGUAAUUGUGAAUGUAUAUGGCCCACAAAACUGCACAAGAAAGACCUGUAUUCUCACAUCUGCGUGAUUUACUCUGGAUUUCCAAGGCACAUCACCUAAUUGUAAUUUAUCAAAUAGAAUUACUGACUAAUAUAAAAGUUUACUUUAUGGACACAAAUGUCAAUUGUUGAUUUCUAGAAAGGCAAACCUCUAAAUUAAAGGUUUAAAAUUAAAAAGAAGUCAAGAAUCUAUUUCCAAUUUAAAAUCUGGUGGCUUUUACACUUUUCAGUGGUAUUAAAGGCUUUUCCUUUCUUCGGAAGCUGAAGGCACUAUAUAGACAUUUAAGAUUGCACAGGGAAGUGCACCUCAUGUCAUGACUGCAAUUAGCAGCAACUAUCCACCUGUCUCAAGAGUUUAACAAUGCAUGGAUUUUUCUAAUAUACUACAGGAUUUAUGCUUAUUCCCAUUUGGGCAGAACAGGAAGGAAUUUUGCCCUGCUGUUGGAUUAGCUAUGUGCAUUAUAUUUGCCUUAUUCACAACCAGACAUCCAGGGACCCAGCGGGGUAAACAGACUCAGAACAAACCACCCUAAUUACUGUAUCAUUAAGAUGAGGCACAGGACACUUGGAAAAGGGCUUGGCAGGCAGGGAGGCAAACUAUCAGCUACAACAGGACCCAGGAGAGAAAUCUGGGUUUGCUACAUGACAGAUCUAGCGCAAAACACCAGCUCCUUGUCACUGCAGAAUCACAGCUGUCCACCUGUCCUCUGCAUCAGCUGUAGAAGAGUUGGGUAUGGUCAUGGCCCCCCAACAGAUGGAAACCUAUCAAGGAAGAAUCAAGACCUGCUGGUCUUUCCUACAGGAGUUAAGUUAAUAAUAACAUUGUUUAAUUAAAUUCCAUCUCCUGCGUCUUCCUUUUCUUUGUUAUGUGGUGGAACUUUGCAUGUAAGCAUUAGUACUUACCAGUGAAAGCUUGGGGUCAACAAAGGUAGCUCCCAGGUACUCAAAGUAAGAUGCCAGUCCCUCAUUAAGCCACAGAUCAUUCCACCAGUUCAUUGUAACCAGAUUUCCAAACCACUUAAAUGGAAAGAAAAAGUAUCUCAAAGUGUCCUUGGUCUGCUCUUCUCAUUUUUUUGCAGAUUAAGUACACAUACUUAUGAUGAAGUAACUUUAUUUAUUGUGUACAUGUAAAUUGAAUAAAUUGCUGAAUAGUCCUUCAGAUAGUGAAAAUUCAGUAGGAAAACAUGUACCUUCGAAAAAGUCAGAUGUUCAGGGCAAUUAUUUUUAAAUCGCUUCAUCUACAAUUUCAUACCAGGAGUGUGCAUCUCAGUGCUUUAUGUCAUUCUUUAAGGAUAUUUCAUUUCAAACACUUGUCAAUAUAAUUUAAAUAUAUAAAAUAUCAUUUCAGGCUAUGAUUAAAAGUAAGGCAUUUAUCAAGCAAUUAAAAAAACAUUUUUCCAUGUUCUUAACAGAAUGAAAUUGUCAGAGGAAUGGUAAACAAAAUAACCAUUUCCAAAAACAGGAAAUCCCUAUCCUGGCAAGUAUAAAAUUUCCACAACAUCUGCUGUGUACUCACAUUUGGCAGUUCAUAUUUAACAAAAACUGAUCACUUGUUGAUUUAUAUUUUAUUUGCUAAUUCUUAAAAACCUGAACUGCAACUUUAUUUUAAAACAGAAUUUUGUUAAGUAUUGACAUUUAUUUUAUAGGUCUGCAAUAAAAAUACUGCUCAUCUGAGGAUCUGGAAAGUUAUAGACCUUGUCAGAAAGGCAUACAAGUGCACUAGCCAAGCUAAACUCUUUUGCUAGCUUUGUUGACCAAGUGCAAAGAGUUGUUGCUCAGGCAAAUAACAGUAAAUUAAACAUAGUCAAUAAAGAAGUGAAACUGCAUUAUCAUUCCAAAUCAA
Molecule: long non-coding RNA, 3255 nt
Organism: Chiroxiphia lanceolata (lance-tailed manakin)
Lineage: Eukaryota; Metazoa; Chordata; Aves; Passeriformes; Pipridae
Exons: 3
Source: RefSeq, a predicted model, not a curated record